This 616-nucleotide long non-coding RNA is filed under the name Malus domestica (apple). RNAcentral describes it as "long non-coding RNA (MDOM_LNC008625)". The record is from RNAcentral. Lineage: Eukaryota; Viridiplantae; Streptophyta; Magnoliopsida; Rosales; Rosaceae.
AAACACUUAAAAACAGCAAGGAACAACAUUAGAAGUAAUGGGUGAUAAACUCCUACAAAUUUUAUGCAAAACAACUUGGUUACCCCCUACACUUAAAUCAAACAUUGUCCUCAAUGUUUCAAGCAUAAACUCACACAAAAACAAGCAAACAAACAAACAACGAAUAAACAUGACAAGUAUAGCAAAGUAAAAACCAGACAGAGUAGAGUUUAAGAAUGCAAAUCUGGUUUUGGAGAUAGAUAAUCUUGUUGACUUUCCACAGCUUUGAUCUCGAACUGGUUUGGAAUUCUGAGCAAGGAAUAUCAGAGUUCCUUGGUUUCAAAUCAGACUCCUUCUGCUGGGUUGAUUUGAUUGUGCAGUCUGCAUUCUUCUCUGCUUGUUUCUUCUGCAUGGCAGGUAGGCACGAGGUAGAGGUGAUGGUCUGUUUCUUUCUUCAAUCUUUCCAAGUGCCCACCAUUUGCUUUAUUUCUCCUUGUCCCUAGCUAAGGACGAAUUAGCACAUUGUCUCCACAUGCUUCGAGGUAUCAUUUUCACUUCCCUUAUCUGUUCCCCAGGCAGAUGUGGUAGACGAAGAGGAAACAUAAGAUGUUGAAGAUGAGUACUCGAGAGCAAGGCU